GCCAGCAUAGCUCAGUUGGUAGAGCAGCUGAUUCGUAAUCAGCAGGUCAACAGUUCAAUUCUGUUUGCUGGCUCCA
This 76-nucleotide transfer RNA is filed under the name Oleidesulfovibrio alaskensis. RNAcentral's name for it is "Desulfovibrio alaskensis (oil field metagenome) tRNA-Thr". It matches the Rfam family "tRNA". From Rfam's summary of the family: Transfer RNA (tRNA) molecules are approximately 80 nucleotides in length. Lineage: Bacteria; Pseudomonadati; Thermodesulfobacteriota; Desulfovibrionia; Desulfovibrionales; Desulfovibrionaceae. RNAcentral also lists the same sequence under 3 other names. The record is from RNAcentral.